GAUGAACGCUGGCGGCGUGCCUAAUACAUGCAAGUCGAGCGAAUGGAUUAAGAGCUUGCUCUUAUGAAGUUAGCGGCGGACGGGUGAGUAACACGUGGGUAACCUGCCCAUAAGACUGGGAUAACUCCGGGAAACCGGGGCUAAUACCGGAUAACAUUUUGAACCGCAUGGUUCGAAAUUGAAAGGCGGCUUCGGCUGUCACUUAUGGAUGGACCCGCGUCGAAUUAGCUAGUUGGUGAGGUAACGGCUCACCAAGGCAACGAUGCGUCGCCGACCUGAGAGGGUGAUCGGCCACACUGGGACUGAGACACGGCCCAGACUCCUACGGGAGGCAGCAGUAGGGAAUCUUCCGCAAUGGACGAAAGUCUGACGGAGCAACGCCGUGUGAGUGAUGAAGGCUUUCGGGUCGUAAAACUCUGUUGUUAGGGAAGAACAAGUGCUAGUUGAAUAAGCUGGCACCUUGACGGUACCUAACCAGAAAGCCACGGCUAACUACGUGCCAGCCGCCGCGGUAA
This 515-nucleotide ribosomal RNA is filed under the name uncultured bacterium. RNAcentral's name for it is "partial 16S ribosomal RNA". It matches the Rfam family "Bacterial small subunit ribosomal RNA", at positions 28 to 523 of the family's 1533-position model. The record is from RNAcentral.